GACGAACGCUGGCGGCGUGCUUAACACAUGCAAGUCGAACGGAAAGGCCCUGCUUGCAGGGUACUCGAGUGGCGAACGGGUGAGUAACACGUGGGUGAUCUGCCCUGCACUUCGGGAUAAGCCUGGGAAACUGGGUCUAAUACCGGAUAUGACCUUCCAUGUAGUGUGGGGGGUGGAAAGAUUUAUCGGUGUGGGAUGAGCCCGCGGCCUAUCAGCUUGUUGGUGGGGUAAUGGCCUACCAAGGCGUCGACGGGUAGCCGGCCUGAGAGGGUGGACGGCCACAUUGGGACUGAGAUACGGCCCAGACUCCUACGGGAGGCAGCAGUGGGGAACAUUGCACAAUGGGCGGAAGCCUUAUGCAGCGACGCCGCGUGGGGGAUGACGGCCUUCGGGUUGUAAACCUCUUUCGACAGGGACGAAGCUUCGGUGACGGUACCUGUAUAAGAAGCACCGGCUAACUACGUG
Molecule: ribosomal RNA, 465 nt
Filed under: uncultured bacterium
Lineage: Bacteria
Description: partial 16S ribosomal RNA
Rfam family: Bacterial small subunit ribosomal RNA
Source: RNAcentral